UGAGUAACACGUAUCCAACCUGCCGUCUACUCUUGGACAGCCUUCUGAAAGGGAGAUUAAUACAAGAUGGCAUCAUGAGUUCACAUGUUCACAUGAUUAAAGGUAUUCCGGUAGACGAUGGGGAUGCGUUCCAUUAGAUAGUAGGCGGGGUAACGGCCCACCUAGUCUUCGAUGGAUAGGGGUUCUGAGAGGAAGGUCCCCCACAUUGGAACUGAGACACGGUCCAA
RNAcentral lists this ribosomal RNA (227 nucleotides) under uncultured bacterium. RNAcentral describes it as "partial 16S ribosomal RNA". It matches the Rfam family "Bacterial small subunit ribosomal RNA", at positions 107 to 334 of the family's 1533-position model. The record is from RNAcentral.